UUUUUGUCCCUUUGUGUUCCUCAAAAAUCACUCAUAAAUUUCUCUCUCUACAUUUUUUCUUCUUUCUUUUUUCCUUUUAAUUUUGUAUAAUAUUAUUUUAUUUUAUCUUGAUUCUCUGUACAUCUCCACCUUUUUUUUUUCUCUUUGAAAGCAAGAACCCAAAAUUUCCACUCAACUUUCUGCCCACAAAAACCCCUAAAUUUUUUUCCAAAGUUUCAAUCUUUUUUAUUUUUAUUGGAUCAUUUUUAUUAGGGUUUGUUAAUUUUGUUGUCAAAAUCAAAACUUUGUAUCUGGGUUUUCAUGGGCGAGCUUGAAGAUAUUGGUCCUGACUAUGGCUCGGAUAUAGAGGUCGAUGAUCUAAGGGGUGGGAACAUUGCGGAGAAAGAUGUUAGUGAUGAAGAGAUUGAGCCGGAGGAAUUGGAAAGGCGAAUGUGGAAGGAUCGUAUUAAGCUUAAGAGGAUCAAAGAGAGGGAACAACUUGAGGCGCAACGGGCUGCUGAGAAGCAAAAGCCCAAGCAGACGAGUGAUCAGGCGAGGAGGAAGAAAAUGUCCCGAGCACAAGAUGGGAUUUUGAAGUAUAUGUUGAAGUUGAUGGAAGUUUGCAAAGCGCGGGGUUUUGUGUAUGGGAUAAUUCCUGAAAAGGGAAAGCCUGUCAGCGGUUCUUCGGAUAAUAUAAGAGCGUGGUGGAAAGAAAAAGUUAAAUUCGACAAGAAUGGGCUGGCUGCCAUAGCCAAGUAUGAAGCUGAGUGUUUGGUGAUGACUGAGGGUGCUAAUAAUGGGAAUGGAAAUGGCCAAAGCACACUUCAGGAUUUGCAAGAUGCUACUUUGGGGUCCCUUUUGUCAUCGUUGAUGCAACAUUGUGAUCCUCCUCAGAGAAAGUUUCCUCUUGAGAAGGGUGUGCCUCCACCAUGGUGGCCUUCUGGGGACGAAGAUUGGUGGUCAAAGCUUGGUUUACCGAAGGGUCAAAACCCUCCAUAUAAGAAGCCUCAUGAUCUCAAGAAGAUGUGGAAAGUUGGGGUUCUGACUGCUGUUAUUAAGCAUAUGUCUCCUGAUAUUGCAAAGAUUCGAAGGCUUGUGAGACAAUCUAAGUGUUUACAAGACAAGAUGACUGCCAAGGAGAGUUCAAUUUGGUUGGGGGUUUUGGGUCGGGAAGAGUCCCUUAUUCGGCAGCCUAGCAGUGAUAAUGGAAUGUCGGGUGUUACAGGAAGCCCGCAUGGCCCACGUGGUGAAAAGAGAAAACCAGCUGCUAGCAGUGACAGUGAUUAUGACGUUGAUGAAGGUGCCGGGUCUGUUUCUUCUAAAGAUGAAAGGAAAAACCAACAAAGUGAUGAAGAAACAAUUGGUGCACCUGAAACAAAUACUCGCUCUUCUAUCCGAAAUAAGAAUCUAAUUGGGAAGCAAAGCAAGAGAAAAAAAUCUCAAGGAAAACCUAGUUCUAUUGAUGAGCAAACCAGCCCAUCUAAGGAUGAUCAGCUUUUGGUUGCAGCACCUAAUGAUAAGCAGGCUGCACCAUCUACAAUUGAGAAUUUGGUUGAACCUGUGGGGCCUGUGUCUGACAUGGACCAUGAGAAUGAAGACUUGAAUGGUUUCCUGAUGCAUGAUAGCAGUAACCAGGAGGAUAAUGGCUCUCUAUUUAUUGAACCAUUGGUACCCAUGGCCACUGAUAAUUUGGGGCAAUAUCAUCCUCUGGCCUCAGAUUAUGGUCAAUAUGGUUACUUGUCUAAUGUCCGUCCUCCCAAUAUAAUGUCUCGACAAAAUAUGCUUGCGGCAGAUCAAUCCUUCCAUCAUGCAAUGGUACAAGAAAAUGAAUUACAACAUGCUGAUUCUUAUUAUGAUCCAUCAAUUCAAUAUGGGCAAAGGCAUGAUAAACAAUAUGGACAAGGGCAUGACGUACAGAACUUGCAACAUCCAAUAAGUGAGCCUCAGGCAAGGAACGAAAUCGUUGGAAUGCAUCUUCCCUCACUUAAUUUAACUGGAAAUGAGAUCACUGGAAGUCACUUGCCUGUUUUUGAUGGACCCUUUAAUAGUAGUCUUGGGUCUCCCUUUCAUGACCUUUCUUUAGAAUUUUCAUUAGGAGAUUAUGAGAUUGAGGACUUUGGUUUAGACGAAGACUUCUUGGAAUACACUGGAGCUUAGAAUGGCAAAGUGGGAUUUGUGCAGCUUAAACUGUGAUGAUGUGAUGCAAAUCAAAGCAAAGAUUCAGUUUGAAUGUGUCACCUGUAUAGUUGUCACUUGUCAACUUAGUCCCUGCAGUUGUCCUGGAUUUGCACAAGGGUUGGAUUUUCUGUGGUGAUAUUUUUUGGGGUUCAUUUUAGGAAGGGCUUUUCCCUCGAGAAAGGAUGGUUCUUGCCUACUGUGGAAUUAUCUGAAGGAUGCCAUGGUGAAAUUCUUUAACUUACCAAUUUGUGUUUUAUUAAUAGCUGGCAACUCUUGUCUUCAACUCCGUGCAUGACGAUCGUCGGUCAUAAGACCUUCUAGAACCUAAGGUUAAUUUUUCUGGUGCUUAGAUUGCUGCCUGUGUUUUGGUGGGGUUGAUCUUUGGAUGGCUAGCUCCACUAGUAUUUUUCAGGUUUCUCUGCCAGGGAUGCUGAGCGAGGGAAGGUAUGAAUACGAAGGGGCACACCGCACAUGAAAGUGAUUUCAGAGCAUUUUCUUCUCGAGUGAAACUAUACUCUAUGAGCUUCUUUUUGACCAAGUUGUUUAGUCAUUCCCCAGACAACUGAAUGCAAAGUGAUUAUUUUACUUUGUUUUUAAGAGCAUUUACCAGAAUUGUGGUUUAGUUUGACAGUUAAAAGCUGCUAAUUAGACGGACUAUAUGUCGUCAUCUCUUUUUGCAAGAAUUUGAUUUUCAUGUACUUCUAUGACGGAUCAGAGUACUUGUGAUUGAACAUAUUUUCGAAUAGGUAUUACCGAAAAUGUUUCUUACCCUUCUUCAAGCUGUAUGCGCCAGACAUAACAGAAGAAGGCGAGCUUGCGAGCUGCUUACGAGUUCUAUGGGCAGUGUCUAGGAUGUCAUUAUAUCAUGUGCUUCUCCUGGAUCAGAUUGUCUUUUUUUGUUAUUUAUGUUGUAGAUUUUCUCAUGUUUCAUAUGUAGUGAAGUUUCUUUUUGUGAUUUCUUAACUUCUGUCGAUCACCUAUGAGUUUUCAUCUUGUGUAUGCUAUCAAGUUCGACUUAGCACUUACAGAUUUUGAUGGUUAAGUUUGGAAACCAAUUUUCAUGUCUUCAAUGAGUACAUGAACAUUAUUUGUUUGAA
Beta vulgaris subsp. vulgaris (sugar beet) is the source of this 3254-nucleotide RNA transcript. It is a transcript of the gene named ETHYLENE INSENSITIVE 3-like 3 protein, with no coding region annotated. NCBI's taxonomy places the organism in Eukaryota, Viridiplantae, Streptophyta, Magnoliopsida, Caryophyllales, Amaranthaceae. The transcript has 4 exons. The record is from RefSeq and is a predicted model, not a curated record.